AGCAGUCGCCACGGUAAUACGAAGGGGGCUAGCGUUGCUCGGAAUUACUGGGCGUAAAGGGAGCGUAGGCGAACAUUUAAGUCAGGGGUGAAAUCCCAGAGCUCAACUCUGGAACUGCCUUUGAUACUGGGUGUCUUGAGUGUGAUAGAGGUAUGUGGAACUCCGAGUGUAGAGGUGGAAUUCGUAGAUAUUCGGAAGAACACCAGUGGCGAAGGCGACAUACUGGAUCAUUACUGACGCUGAGGCUCGAAAGCGUGGGGAGCAAACAGGAUUAGAUACCCCGGUAGUCCCUGUCUCUUAUAC
This 303-nucleotide ribosomal RNA is filed under the name uncultured bacterium. RNAcentral's name for it is "partial 16S ribosomal RNA". It matches the Rfam family "Bacterial small subunit ribosomal RNA", at positions 507 to 807 of the family's 1533-position model. The record is from RNAcentral.